CUGCUCAGUAACACGUGGACAACCUACCCUCAGGACAGGUAUAAACCCGGGAAACUGGGUAUAAUCCCUGAUAGUCCUCGACUGCUGGAAUGCAUCGAGGCCGAAAGCUCCGGCGCCUGAGGAUGGGUCUGCGGCCUAUCAGGUAGUAGUGGGUCUAAAGUACCUACUAGCCUACGACGGGUACGGGUUGUGAGAGCAAGAGCCCGGAGAUGGAUUCUGAGACACGAAUCCAGGCCCUACGGGGUGCAGCAGGCGCGAAAACUUUACAAUGCCGGCAACGGCGAUAAGGGGACCUCGAGUGCCAGGUUACAAAUCUGGCUGUCGUGAUGCCUAAAAAGCAUUGCAUAGCAAGGGCCGGGCAAGACCGGUGCCAGCCGCCGCGGUAACACCGGCGGCUCGAGUGGUAACCGUUAUUAUUGGGUCUAAAGGGUCUGUAGCCGGCCGGAUAAGUCUCUUGGGAAAUCCAGCAGCUCAACUGUUGGGCUUCCAGGAGAUACUGUCUGGCUCGAGGCCGGGAGAGGUGAGAGGUACUUCAGGGGUAGGGGUGAAAUCUUGUAAUCCUUGAAGGACCACCAGUGGCGAAGGCGUCUCACCAGAACGGACCUGACGGCAAGGGACGAAAGCUAGGGGCACGAACCGGAUUAGAUACCCGGGUAGUCCUAGCC
Molecule: ribosomal RNA, 665 nt
Filed under: uncultured Methanosaeta sp.
Lineage: Archaea; Methanobacteriati; Methanobacteriota; Methanomicrobia; Methanotrichales; Methanotrichaceae
Description: bacterial SSU rRNA
Rfam family: Archaeal small subunit ribosomal RNA
Source: RNAcentral